Molecule: long non-coding RNA, 599 nt
Filed under: Mus pahari (shrew mouse)
Lineage: Eukaryota; Metazoa; Chordata; Mammalia; Rodentia; Muridae
Description: RIKEN cDNA 9230020A06 gene (MGP_PahariEiJ_G0004624.1)
Source: RNAcentral
CUCCACAGGGGUCGCCACCCGCAGGUCGAGCACCACUGUUUCAAGGGUGGUUGCACCUGCAUAAGAAAGCUGCACACCUGCAUCUCCUCGGUCGUGAAGUCCACGGUGGUUCCCAGCUGCCCAUGGCGUCCUCUUCAGGGAACUGACAAGCUGGAGAUGGAAGCUACAUUUGGAGUCCUGCUCCAGGAGGGAAAACAGAAAAACAAGACACUGCCCCAACACCGCCCCCAGAUGCAUCCGGGCGGGAGCUCAUUUCCAUCCCAAAUUGACUACAGAGGGCGAAGGCUUCUGGGAAAUACCAGGUUCCUUCUGCAAGAUGAGAAAAUCAGUUCAAUAAUCCUCUACCCCCACCUCAUCCAUGAACUUUGGAUUUCAUCUUCAGCAUCAUCAAGAGACAACCAGCAAAUCGUUGUUUGCACCACAAGUGAUGGCAAGCUCAUUACACUGCAAAUUUCGCAUUCAGCUUCUGAGCACCGGAAUGCCAUCAGUUUGUGCCAUCGUUGGAACUGAUGUUGGUUCCCCUAAGGGCCACCCUCAUGAGGGUGGAGCUUGUCUCACCAAUUCAGUCCUGCAGAGGUUUGCGAACCAAGUUCACUUCA